This 967-nucleotide long non-coding RNA is filed under the name Sus scrofa (pig). Its description in RNAcentral is "lncRNA (ENSSSCG00060019089.1)". The record is from RNAcentral. Lineage: Eukaryota; Metazoa; Chordata; Mammalia; Artiodactyla; Suidae.
ACCGAAGCUUAGAAGUGGCACAGUGAGGGCGCACCUGGUCCUCCCUGAAGAGGCUUCAGUUCACGGUUGCAUCCCCACCCCUCAGUUCCGACCAUUUUCAGACACACUGGCCCAGAAACGUUUGUAAUUAAAGGGUUGUUUGAAAGUACAAACCCGAGCAAAGUAGCUCUGUAAGAUUUGCUGAUUGGCUCAGAAGUCAGCUUGCACCGUCUAGCUGCAGGGCCACACUCACAGAAUAUGGAGUUUCCACUAGGGGUUGAAUCAGAGCUGUAGCCGCUGGCCUACGACACCACAGCCACAGCCAUGCCAGAUCCGAGACACGUCUUUGACCUACUCCACAGCUCACAACAACACCGGAUCCUUAACCCACUGAGAGAGGCCAGGGAUGGAACCUGCAUCUUCAUGGAUACUAGUCAGGCGGAAUUCCACUCUCCUGCUUCUCUGCAGACAAGGGUGAUGUACAAUCUGUGUGUCCUUGGCACACUUGGUAACCAAUUCCAGUCUCAUUUCUGCCUUUAUGCUGAGAUCAGCAUUCAGAAGUGCAGUGAGUGGAGAGGAAACAUUCCUUUCGUGAUUCUACCUCUGACUGGAGCGCCACAGUAUGUUUAAGAGCACAUGAUCUAUAUACCACUGGACACAAUCUUCUCUGCAUUUGGUGUACUUCAUUUGCUAUCUCAGAUAUUUGAACUCAAUCAAUGUUGAUUAAUGAAGAAACCAAGAAUGCUCUGACAUUAACCUUACAAAUGCUUUCUUAGGUCAGUCUCCCAAGGCAACAGAAAUAAAAGUAAAAACAAACCAAUGGGACCUAAUCAAACUGACAAGAUUUUGCACAGCAAAGGAAAUCACAAAAGACCCAAAAAGACAACCUAUGGAAUGGGAGAAAAUAGUUUCAAAUGAAGCAACUGACAAGAGCGUAAUCUCUAAAAUAUACAACUUACACAACUCAACAGAAAAAAAAAAAAAAAAA